GGUGAACUGGACUUGGUGGAUGGUGUGGAAGGGACUUUGGGAGAGACCUGUGCCCAUGAUAAAAGGGAAGAUGAAGAUGUUCCUUUGAGUUUGCAUGUGUGGGGCCUUUUUGGCAUGGUUGACUUGUCUGUACUCCUUCCUGUGACUUGACAUCAAAAUUAGCCUUGCAGCUUCAGGACUGCUGAUCCUGAUUAUGCUGUGCAAAGGGUGUUCGUUCCACGGUCACACUGUCUCUAUGAGGCAGCAACGUCUAGGAGUGUUAUCCCCAUUGAGGGGGCAGAUAAACCAAGGAAGGAGGAGGGCAGGUGCUGGCCCAAGUCACACACAGAUGAAGGCACACAUGGUCACGCAUACCUGGGAAAGCUUAGCAGCACUCCUGGCUCUCCUCAGGAGUUCAUAGAACCCUGCGCUGUGUGGACCACCGAGCUCAGAAGGGUUGCUGUGUGAUGCUCGAAUCAGGAGGCUCUGAUGGACUCUUCCCUUCUCUGUCUCUCCAGCAUCUGACUGAGGCACGUUUAUGGGACUCUGGCGAGGAAGACUCCGGUUUGCAGAACACCUCCAAUGGCCACUGCUUAAAUUGAACAAAUGAUGCAUCACAAAACUACAACGGGACUCUUCAAAUUCACGGUCGGCGCAAUCUGUAUGUAAUUGUAUUGCAACAAUUGUCCAGCAGAUGGCAGUAAAGUGUCAUGAAACAGAGUUGCCUGGUGACCUGUGCUGCACCUUUGUGAGUUAGCGGUGACCAGGCUUCACACACUGGACUUACUGGAGUCACUACUAAGCCAAGGCCACAGCAGAAAGAGCACUGCGUUUUGCAUGACCUAGGGGCUCCAAGUCGGCCUGGCUGCACCAGAGCCCUUUCAAAACACGCGGUUUAGUUCAGGGCUCACAUUGGCCAUUGCCUGGUUUUGUUUGGCCAGCAAGGAAAAUGUGCAAAGCCCUGGAUUGCUCCUUUGGGACUUCAUCAGCUGCAAACCCUCACAGUAUUUUUGUGUGUUUGGAAGUAAGAAGAGAGCAAGCGAGGGCCGAGACCUAAUGGGAAGACCCGGCGGCUGGGAGAAGGGCUCCUGGCCAGGAUCCGUGAGUCGGCUUCUUGAAGUGAAAGACAGAACUCUCUGCUCUUCAGGUUCUAUCAGUGCAAAGAGGGCCCACUAAGACCCACUCUGCAGGGCUGUUGAGGAAAGCCCCAUCUGACAGGCACCCGACAAAGCUCCUCACACUCCGUAAAUGCCACCCAUCAUGAAUGUGGCUAUGAUUAAAUUGUGAUGAGGACUGUGACCCACAAGACUGGAAAACCAGUUUGGCACCUUGAUGCAGAUGUUUUCAAGGACUGGGUUAGAGAAUACAUACCAUCAUUCUACUUUUAGCUGUUUUGUUUCAUUAAAACCUUUUUGGUUUUAAUGAAACAAACCAUAACAUGUAUGACAACCAUAACAUGUAUGACAACAUAGCAUGACAACCAUAACAAGUACAAUAUUUUGGCCAAUUUCAUUUAAUUUGGCACAUAGAAUGGAAGAAAUAUUAAGAUAUUAUUUUCUACAUGACUAUGUAGCUGGGAUGAUUGGAACUGAAUCAUUUAUUGCACAUUUGAAUGGUUAAUUUUAUUAUGCUCACAUUGUGUACAUAUUCUGUGGCUUAUAUAUAAUCAGUAAAUAUUCUAUGACUUAUUCCUCUUCAGAAACAUGUGGAAAGAUGAACAAAAAACAACCACAGCAUGACAGGGUUAGGGAAUUCUAGAAAUGGAAAAGAUGUUAAAAAUGGGUUUAUAGUAAAAUCCAACAUCUAGAGGAAGGAUUUAAAGUCUAAGCAGAAACCCUUUCUGGCGGUCUGCAGAAGUCUCCCAUCUUGCUAAAGUGUCACAUUUGGCACAUAUUCCUGGAAAACGUUUUAGUGUUUUUCAAUUAAAUUCCUUACUGCUGUCCCUCUUGCCAA
Molecule: long non-coding RNA, 1932 nt
Organism: Homo sapiens (human)
Lineage: Eukaryota; Metazoa; Chordata; Mammalia; Primates; Hominidae
Gene: ZNF32-AS3
Product: ZNF32 antisense RNA 3
Source: Ensembl